Molecule: unclassified non-coding RNA, 253 nt
Filed under: uncultured Thermoactinomycetaceae bacterium
Lineage: Bacteria; Bacillati; Bacillota; Bacilli; Caryophanales; Thermoactinomycetaceae
Description: contains 16S-23S intergenic spacer region
Rfam family: Bacterial small subunit ribosomal RNA
Source: RNAcentral
UACGUAGGGGGCAAGCGUUAUCCGGAAUUAUUGGGCGUAAAGCGCGCGCAGGCGGUCGGUUAAGUCAGGUGUGAAAGGCUGCGGCUCAACCGCAGAGCGGCAUCUGAAACUGGUCGACUUGAGUGCAGGAGAGGGGAGCGGAAUUCCCGGUGUAGCGGUGGAAUGCGUAGAGAUCGGGAGGAACACCAGUGGCGAAGGCGGCUCUCUGGCCUGUAACUGACGCUGAGGCGCGAAAGCGUGGGUAGCAAACAGG